This is a long non-coding RNA of Gossypium arboreum, 690 nucleotides long. RefSeq lists it as uncharacterized. The record is from RefSeq and is a predicted model, not a curated record. Lineage: Eukaryota; Viridiplantae; Streptophyta; Magnoliopsida; Malvales; Malvaceae. The transcript is spliced from 4 exons.
CCGUUUAAGUGAUUCCACAGAAUGGCUAUUGUACCCUUAUUCCCUCAGCUGCUGUAAUAGGCAUUCAAGGGUUGGGGGUCUGAAUUGCUAUUCAAUGCCAGAACCGUAAUAACAUUUUCACAUUUUUAGACCAAAAUAGUCUGCCUCUCUUCUUCCCAAAAUUCUGUCCAGAUUUAUUCCUCAACAUUUAUCCCCAAAUCAAGUCAAACAACCAUUCGCCCUUCAUCUUCAUCUCCCCAAAUAAAUUAAAGGGUUGGAGACAAAGCGCAAAAGGGUCAGGUGUUAUGCAUCAUUGAAGCAAUGAAGUUGAUGAAUGAAAUAGAAGCAUAUCAAUCAGGAACCAUAGUCGAGAUUCUUGUAGAAGAUGGCAAAGCAGUCAGUGUUGGUACGCCUCUGUUCGUGAUUGAACCUUGAAAUAAGACUAUCAAGUAGCAAAGUAAAAGGUGGGAAGGAUAGGCAAGAGAGCAGGUUGAGUUGGUGGGAUUUUCCUUCCUGGUAAUUUAGUUUGGAUUCAUUAAAUGGGCAGCUUCUUUUGUAGUCUAGUAGCUUAUUAUAUACUUCUAGUCUUACAGCUAUAGCAAAUAAAAAUGUUAUUCAAACAAAUGUUAUUAUAUACUUCUAGUACGGGAUACUUCAUGCUUUUUACUUUCCAUUGUUCAAAUAAAAAUGUUAAUUCAAACAAAGAACAAA